GGGAGCGAUUAUACCGGCACUAAUGCACUGGAUCCCAUCAAAACUCUGCAGUGAAGCGUGCUUGGGCGAGAGUAGUACUAGAAUGGGUGACCUCCUGGGAAGUCCUUUUGUUGCAUCCC
Molecule: ribosomal RNA, 119 nt
Organism: Macleaya cordata
Lineage: Eukaryota; Viridiplantae; Streptophyta; Magnoliopsida; Ranunculales; Papaveraceae
Source: Rfam